Molecule: ribosomal RNA, 468 nt
Filed under: uncultured bacterium
Lineage: Bacteria
Description: partial 16S ribosomal RNA
Rfam family: Bacterial small subunit ribosomal RNA
Source: RNAcentral
GACGAACGCUGGCGGCGUGCUUAACACAUGCAAGUCGAACGGAAAGGCCCUGCUUUUGUGGGGUGCUCGAGUGGCGAACGGGUGAGUAACACGCGAGUAACCUGCCCUUGACUUUGGGAUAACUUCAGGAAACUGGGGCUAAUACCGGAUAGGAGCUCCUGCUGCAUGGUGGGGGUUGGAAAGAUUCGGCGGUUGGGGAUGGACUCGCGGCUUAUCAGCUUGUUGGUGGGGUAGUGGCUUACCAAGGCUUUGACGGGUAGCCGGCCUGAGAGGGUGGCCGGCCACAUUGGGACUGAGAUACGGCCCAGACUCCUACGGGAGGCAGCAGUGGGGAAUAUUGCACAAUGGGCGGAAGCCUGAUGCAGCAACGCCGCGUGCGGGAUGACGGCCUUCGGGUUGUAAACCGCUUUCGCCUGUGACGAAGCGUGAGUGACGGUAAUGGGUAAAGAAGCACCGGCUAACUACGUG